RNAcentral lists this ribosomal RNA (468 nucleotides) under uncultured bacterium. RNAcentral describes it as "partial 16S ribosomal RNA". It matches the Rfam family "Bacterial small subunit ribosomal RNA", at positions 28 to 507 of the family's 1533-position model. The record is from RNAcentral.
GACGAACGCUGGCGGCGUGCUUAACACAUGCAAGUCGAACGGAAAGGCCCUGCUUUUGUGGGGUGCUCCAGUGGCGAACGGGUGAGUAACACGUGAGUAACCUGCCCUUGACUUUGGGAUAACUUCAGGAAACUGGGGCUAAUACCGGAUAGGAGCUCCUGCUGCAUGGUGGGGGUUGGAAAGUUUCGGCGGUUGGGGAUGGACUCGCGGCUCAUCAGCUUGUUGGGGGGGUAGUGGCUUACCAAGGCUUUGCCGGGUAGCCGGCCUGAGAGGGUGACCGGCCACAUUGGGACUGAGAUACGGCCCAGACUACUACGGGAGGCAGCAGUGGGGAAUAUUGCACAAUGGGCGGAAGCCUGAUGCAGCAACGCCGCGUGCGGGAUGACGGCCUUCGGGUUGUAAACCGCUUUCGCCUGUGACGAAGCGUGAGUGACGGUAAUGGGUAAAGAAGCACCGGCUAACUACGUG